GUGGCCCUGACUGAAGACCAGCAGUUCUGUAGCUGUUGGUUUCAAACAGAGGCCUAAAGGACUGUCUUCCUGUGGUCUGUUGGCUGUUCUGGAAUCUCAGCAGAGAAUGGCUGUUUCAUGUGGAAGAAACAACC
Otolemur garnettii (small-eared galago) is the source of this 134-nucleotide small nucleolar RNA. Lineage: Eukaryota; Metazoa; Chordata; Mammalia; Primates; Galagidae. The record is from Ensembl.